GGAUUAGAUACCCUGGUAGUCCACGCCGUAAACGAUGUCUACUAGCCGUUGGGGAACUUGAUUCUUUAGUGGCGCAGCUAACGCACUAAGUAGACCGCCUGGGGAGUACGGCCGCAAGGUUAAAACUCAAAUGAAUUGACGGGGGCCCGCACAAGCGGUGGAGCAUGUGGUUUAAUUCGAUGCAACGCGAAGAACCUUACCUGGUCUUGACAUCUAGCGAACUUGGAAGAGAUUCCUUGGUGCCUUCGGGAGCGCUAUGACAGGUGCUGCAUGGCUGUCGUCAGCUCGUGCUG
RNAcentral lists this ribosomal RNA (293 nucleotides) under uncultured bacterium. Its description in RNAcentral is "partial 16S ribosomal RNA". It matches the Rfam family "Bacterial small subunit ribosomal RNA", at positions 775 to 1067 of the family's 1533-position model. The record is from RNAcentral.